GUCUAUGGAGAGAAAGGGGGAGGGAGGUGAAGAGGAGAGGGUAGCAGUUGAGGUGCGGUCUACGGAGAGAAAGGGGGAGGAAGGUGAAGAGGAGAGGGUAGCAGUUGAGGUGCAGUCUAUGGAGAGAAAGGGGGAGGGAGGUGAAGAGGAGAGGGUAGCAGUUGAGGUGCGGUCUACGGAGAGAAAGGGGGAGGGAGGUGAAGAGGAGAGGGUAGCAGUUGAGGUGCAGUCUAUGGAGAGAAAGGGGGAGGGAGGUGAAGAGGAGAGGUUAGCAGUUGAGGUGCGGUCUACGGAGAGAAAGGGGGAGGGAGGUGAAGAGGAGAGGGAAGCAGUUGAG
Long non-coding RNA from Oncorhynchus tshawytscha (Chinook salmon), 337 nucleotides. NCBI's taxonomy places the organism in Eukaryota, Metazoa, Chordata, Actinopteri, Salmoniformes, Salmonidae. The record is from Ensembl.